This 460-nucleotide ribosomal RNA is filed under the name uncultured bacterium. Its description in RNAcentral is "partial 16S ribosomal RNA". It matches the Rfam family "Bacterial small subunit ribosomal RNA", at positions 338 to 795 of the family's 1533-position model. The record is from RNAcentral.
CCUACGUGAGGCAGCAGUGAGGAAUAUUGGUCAAUGGACGAGAGUCUGAACCAGCCAAGUAGCGUGAAGGAUGACUGCCCUAUGGGUUGUAAACUUCUUUUAUAUGGGAAUAAAAUGUUCCACGUGUGGGAGUUUGUAUGUACCAUAUGAAUAAGGAUCGGCUAACUCCGUGCCAGCAGCCGCGGUAAUACGGAGGAUCCGAGCGUUAUCCGGAUUUAUUGGGUGUAAAGGGAGCGUCGGUGGAUUGUUAAGUCAGUUGUGAAAGUUUGCGGCUCAACCGUAAAAUUGCAGUUGAAACUGGCAGUCUUGAGUACAGUAGAGGUGGGCGGAAUUCGUGGUGUAGCGGUGAAAUGCUUAGAUAUCACGAAGAACACCGAUGGCGAAGGCAGUUCACUGGACUGCAACUGACACUGAGGCUCGAAAGUGUGGGUAGCAAACAGGAUUAGAUACCCUAGUAGUC